CGUGUAGGCGGAUGGGAACGUCGGAUACUGAAAGCCCCCGGCUCAACCGGGGAAGUGGUGCCGAAACGACCUGUCUGGAGGGACGUAGGGGGAUCUGGAACUUCCGGUGGAGCGGUGAAAUGCGUUGAGAUCGGAAGGAACGCCCGUGGCGCAAGCGAGGUCCUGGACGUCUGCUGACGCUGAGACGCGAAAGCUAGGGGAGCAAACGGGAUUAGAUACCCCGGUAGUCCUAAGCCGUAAACGAUGGGCACUGGGUAGGGGCUCGCCGAUGGGCUCUCUGCCGUAGCGAAAGCGUGAAGUGCCCCGCCGUGGGGAGUAUGGUCGCAAGGCUGAA
RNAcentral lists this ribosomal RNA (334 nucleotides) under uncultured bacterium. RNAcentral's name for it is "bacterial SSU rRNA". It matches the Rfam family "Bacterial small subunit ribosomal RNA", at positions 568 to 898 of the family's 1533-position model. The record is from RNAcentral.